UACGUAGGUGGCAAGCGUUGUCCGGAUUUACUGGGCGUAAAGAGCUCGUAGGCGGUUUGUCGCGUCUGCUGUGAAAACUCGGGGCUUAACCCCGGGCCUGCAGUGGGUACGGGCAGACUAGAGUGCGGAAGGGGCUACUGGAAUUCUCGGUGUAGCGGUGAAAUGCGUAGAUAUCGAGAGGAACACCUGCGGCGAAGGCGGGUAGCUGGGCCGACACUGACGCUGAUGCGCGAAAGCCAGGGGAGCGAAUGGG
Molecule: ribosomal RNA, 253 nt
Filed under: uncultured bacterium
Lineage: Bacteria
Description: partial 16S ribosomal RNA
Rfam family: Bacterial small subunit ribosomal RNA
Source: RNAcentral